GAGGUGGCGGUGCUGCUGGGCUCGUUUGUUCUUUCGUCUGUCCGUUCUUCCUUAGUAACAAGCCGCGGGUUCUGGGUUAGAGGUUCCUUGGGGGCGGCCGCCUUCCACAGAGCGAGCCUGAGGCACCCGCUGCCUUUCUGCUCUACUGGCUCGGUCCUUUACGGUGUUGCCUUGUAUGUGUGGCUUUGUCUCCUGUUGACUCCCGCGGUGACCUGCUGGUCGCAGGCAGGCUGCACGUACAAAAACGCACCUCACACGUGUGCCACGCUUUGUUUCUAAGCAGUCCUGGUGUCCGGAAAGCUCCAUUUGCUUCAGUGCAAGCAACCUGCUCUAGCGGGAAGUACUCCUGCCCAUAGCAGGGGUUGCAACUGGUGGUCUUCAAGUCCCCCCCAGCCCAAACGAGAGAGGAGGCUCAGGGGAGGUCUUAACACUCUCUAUGAAGACCUGAGAGGAGGUCCUUUCAAGCUGGGGGUUGCCCUCUUCUCCCAGCAGAAAAGGACAGCUGUUUACUGUGACCUCUGUCCAGCAAAGGCCCACAUACUUAGCAAGAGUUAACUCCUCCUUGUUAUGAGGAGUAAAAUGUGAGAAAAGUCAAGAAGUGUAAAUCUUCAAAGGAUAAUGUGCAGUUAGAUGCCAUUUGGCAUGAUGAAGAAUAUCACACUGCAGCCCGGAGAGGCAGUGACAUUAUUCAGGAAGCCUUGAGAAUCAAUAUUUCCUGUCUCCUACUCCUGUGCUGCUUCUCAAGGGCUGGUCAGCAGAGGGCCGUGUGACCCAUAGGAGCAUAUGUUCUACGCACAGAUGUGCCUGUGUACUCCAGAUCUGGGAUUUCAUCAGGGAUAAAUAUUUCCUUUUUCUCCCACAAGAAAUUAUUUUUCCUUCUGGAUGGAGUGGUGCAGAGAUGUGUACAGACAGAAUCUCGCAGACAUGCCCUUGCUACAAAGAAGACUGAUGUUAUCCUAGGCUUUGUUAGUCAGAAUCUCACCAACGGGUCAACGGAGGUGAUCUUUCCACUCAGGACAAGUGAUGCUACACAUGGAGCCCCGUGUCCACUUCUGGGCUCUACAGUACAAGAAAGACGUGGACUUGCUAGAGACAGUCCAAUGAAUGGCCAGAAAAAAACUAAGGGACUGUAACACCUGUUCUAUGAGGAAAGGCUGAGAGAGCUGGGACUGUUCAGCCUGUAUAAGAAAAGGCUCAGGGUGGAUACGUGAUGAGAUGGUGCAAAGAAGACAAAGCCAUUGGUACCCAGGGAUAGGACAAGAGUUAAUGUGCACAAACUGGAAUGCAGGAUUCUCCCUUUGAUCAUCCCGUAAUGCUUUCUUACUGUGCGAGUGACUGAAGAAUAGAGCAGGCUGUCCAGAGAGGCAGCGUGGUCUCCUUGGAGAUCUCCAAAAGCCACCUGGGCAUAUGCCUGGGCACUCUGCUCUAGGUGGCACUGCUUGAGCACAGACUGGACCAGAUGGACCCAGAGGUCUCUGACAACUUCAGCCAUUCUGUAAUUCUGUAUUUACAAAGUAAACAAAAGCACAGGUCUGAAUAUUUUCCUUUGCUGUGUGUCCUUGUGUUACUCUUGUUCUGUUCCCUGAUACAGCUGAAUAGAUACAAAACCAUGUGAAUGCAAGUAUGAAUUGACUUCAGUAAUCUCAAGAGAAAUAUUCAUGUGAAUAAAACUACUAAUGAACAGCCUUCUAUGUAACCUUAUUCUCUUUUGUAAUUUCCACCUUUAGAAUUAUAGCCUAUGAUCAAGGUAGUUUCAGUAUCAAAUUUAUGUUUUGAAGUAAGGAGGAUUAGUAAUUUCCAGAUAAGUUUUACAGAAGCUAAUAAGAUUUGACCAAAUAAACUUUCAUUGCUGCCUUCCAAAGUUAAAUCAUAGUCUUACAUAAACAAUAAAUUCCCCCAGUGAAUACCUGUUAAAUGGAUUUGCAAAUUGUGUUGCAGCCCAAUAAACAAACAAACAAAAUUAAUAAACAAACCCUUGAAUGUUCUUGUUAUACAAAUUGUGAAUUCAUUCCUGGCAAACGCAAUACCUCCACAAAUCUCCAAGCCAUGUAAAAGCAGUGUGAACUUUUGAGUAUGAAACUUAUUCAUAGAAAAAAAAUGUGGUAAUUCUUAUGUGCGUAUUUUUACCUUGUGCCUGUCAUUGGAACUGAAGAUUUAUUGCUACAAUACAUAUUAAAAGCAACCA
Molecule: long non-coding RNA, 2185 nt
Filed under: Gallus gallus (chicken)
Lineage: Eukaryota; Metazoa; Chordata; Aves; Galliformes; Phasianidae
Description: lncRNA (ENSGALG00010016337.1)
Source: RNAcentral